UUGAUUUAAAUGUUCCUUUCCGAAGAAGAACGAAAGAAGCCGAAGAAAGAGCCAAUCAAGAAACUAAAACGUAAAAGUGUCAGAAGGGAGGCAACGGACACGCAUCUCAAAUCUCCAACGUACGCAGAACGGUUAGUUCUUUGUACAUAUUCUUACAUGUGGUUCGCAAGAAAGAGUGUGAUCUUGUAUAUACGAAUAUAUAUUACAUUGUACAACUUACAUUUUUAUUAUAUAGACAGAAUAUGUUAAUCAACCAUGAUCCAGUAAUGAAUACUACGUUUCAACGAACAAGCAGUAACGGACGUAAUUGGUGCACAUGUGUAAUUUUUCCAAUAUCUUGCAUCAGUUUCGUCUGGCCCUUCAGUAGCAGAUCCAUAUAGGAUUUUAUUAAGUUUUAACAAAGGAUCAUGAUAGGAAGGCAGUGGUAAUAAAUAAAUCUGAUACAAUUUGUAAAUGAUGCAAUGAUUUAUUGAUAGAGAUUUUGGUGAGUAUGUACUCUUUAGACGAUUGCAUGACACAUACGCAGUAGAGUAUAUACAGCAAGCUUUUUGUAUUCAAGACAGUCUCUGCAAUUCAAGAAAGUCAAAAUUACGGAACAUAAGUUAGGACCCCCUUUAUCACCUUAUUUCUUAUUUAAUAAACUUAUCAGUAUUGCAACAGAUCAAAUCCUGGAUUUUUAAACAAAAAUCUUUUACCAUUUAUUUCAAAUUAUUUCUCCACAAGCAUCAGACAUUCGUUCCAGCUCUUCAGUAAUAUCAGCAACUAAUUUCACUGAUUCAUACAAUAGGAAUCCUUUUGUUUCUAAUUUUGCUAUGGUAACUGGCAAUCUCCAGUAAUUAGUUGUAACAUAAUUUAAUUCAUCAAAUAACGUUUCAUUUUUUAUCAUUUCUUGAGCUAAUCUAAUGCUACUUACAUUUCUCUCAUUGAAUAAUAACCUGGAAAUAAAUAAUAAAUAACCUGAAUGUCUUAUUCUGUUUAAGUAAUACGUGCAUGUAUUAUAAAACAAUAGUGACUUCUCUUAUAUUGUGCACAUGCUCUGCAUAAAAUAUUGCCUCUUCUAGCCACGUUCCCCAUCUUGUUAAAAUAGGUUUCAGUGGCAAUGGAACAUUUGGUAGCUUUUCUUUAUAGCAUUCAAUAUGAUGCAGCGCCUUCAACAAUGCUUGUUUUAUGGAAGCUAUUAAUUGGUUAACUACUGUAACAAUUUCAAUUUCAUCUUUCUUGUCCACUUCGCCGUUUUUCUCAAGAUUGAAUAAUAUGAUAAA
This is a long non-coding RNA of Nomia melanderi (Alkali bee), 1262 nucleotides long. RefSeq lists it as uncharacterized. The record is from RefSeq and is a predicted model, not a curated record. Lineage: Eukaryota; Metazoa; Arthropoda; Insecta; Hymenoptera; Halictidae.